Molecule: ribosomal RNA, 465 nt
Filed under: uncultured bacterium
Lineage: Bacteria
Description: partial 16S ribosomal RNA
Rfam family: Bacterial small subunit ribosomal RNA
Source: RNAcentral
CCUACGGGAGGCAGCAGUAGGGAAUCUUCCACAAUGGGCGAAAGCCUGAUGGAGCAACGCCGCGUGGGUGAAGAAGGUCUUCGGAUCGUAAAACCCUGUUGUUAGAGAAGUAAGAGCGUGAGAGUAACUGUUCACGUUUCGACGGUAUCUAACCAGAAAGCCACGGUUAAUUACGUGCGAGCAGCCGCGGUAAUACGUAGGUGGCAAGCGUUAUCCGGAUUUAUUGGGCGUAAAGGGAACGCAGGCGGUCUUUUAAGUCUGAUGUGAAAGCCUUCGGCUUAACCGGAGUAGUGCAUUGGAAACUGGGAGACUUGAGUGCAGAAGAGGUGAGUGGAACUCGAUGUGUAGCGGUGAAAUGCAUAGAUAUAUGGAAGAACACCGAUUGCGAAGGCAGCUCUCUGGUCUGUAACUGACGCUGAGGUUCGAAAGCGUGGGUAGCAAACAGGAUUAGAUACCCGGGUAGUC